Molecule: ribosomal RNA, 554 nt
Filed under: Clostridioides difficile
Lineage: Bacteria; Bacillati; Bacillota; Clostridia; Peptostreptococcales; Peptostreptococcaceae
Description: partial 23S ribosomal RNA
Rfam family: Bacterial large subunit ribosomal RNA
Source: RNAcentral
CAGUAUUGGCGGAGCCAUCCUUGGGAUACCACCCUUGUAGUACUGGGACUCUAACCAUAGGCCAUGAAUCUGGUCUUGGGACACUGUCAGGUGGGCAGUUUGACUGGGGCGGUCGCCUCCCAAAAGGUAACGGAGGCGCUCAAAGGUUCUCUCAGUACGGUCGGCAAUCGUACGUAGAGUGUAAAGGCAAAAGAGAGCUUGAUUGCAAGACAUACAGGUCGAGCAAGGAUGAAAAUCGGACUUAGUGAUCCGGUGGUUCUGCGUGGAAGGGCCAUCGCUCAACGGAUAAAAGCUACCCUGGGGAUAACAGGCUUAUCUCCCCCAAGAGUCCACAUCGACGGGGAGGUUUGGCACCUCGAUGUCGGCUCAUCACAUCCUGGGGCUGUAGUAGGUCCCAAGGGUUGGGCUGUUCGCCCAUUAAAGUGGUACGCGAGCUGGGUUCAGAACGUCGUGAGACAGUUCGGUCCCUAUCCGUCGCAGGCGUAGGAAAUUUGAGAAGACCUGUCCUUAGUACGAGAGGACCGGGAUGGACGUACCUCUGGUGUACCAGUUGU